This 1287-nucleotide ribosomal RNA is filed under the name Lepocinclis caudata. Its description in RNAcentral is "partial large subunit ribosomal RNA". It matches the Rfam family "Eukaryotic large subunit ribosomal RNA", at positions 2187 to 2925 of the family's 3401-position model. Lineage: Eukaryota; Euglenozoa; Euglenophyceae; Euglenales; Phacaceae. The record is from RNAcentral.
UGAGGUGACUUCUGCCCAGUGCUCUGAUUGUCAUGGCGAAGAGAUUCAGCCAAGCGCGGGUAAACGGCGGGAGUAACUAUGACUCUCUUAAGGUAGCCAAAUGCCUCGUCAACCAAUUAUUGACGCGCAUGAAUGGAUCAACGAGAUUCCUGCUGUCCCUAGGUGCUGUCCGGUGAACCAACAGCCAAGGGAACGGGCUUGGGCGUGUCAGCGGGGAAAGAAGACCCUGUUGAGUUUGACUCUAGUUUGAUGCUGUGCAACGACAUGUGGGGUGUAGCAUAGGUGGGAGGCCCGCGCCAUGGGCACACGCACGACGGCCCCCGCCGCCGUGCGACGAAGAGCAGCAGGCAAGUUGGUUGUUUGUGGAAAGCACGAAGGAAGGCCAAUCGUAUCAGGGUGACUAUGACCACCCAUCCGGACGGUGACUAUGACCACCGUACCUCCAUCAGCAGCAGGCACUGGUUGAUCGUCGGUCGGCUUGGGUGGUGACCAUUGAAGACCACACCACACCAGCCACCACCACGCUGUGGGCUCUUGUGUUUCGUGACGACCCUCUCGGUCGAGUCGAGUGAGGCAGACAGGUCUGUGAUGCAUAUAUCGUAUCGGCAACGCCUUGGCACACGCAUGGAAGGAAGACCAUCUGAUUGGGAAACGGACUGGACAUGGCAAUCGGCACGGAUGGAGCAUGGGACAUCCACGGAUACCAUCAGCAUCGGCUCAGCGAGAUUCAUACAUUGGUGCAAACCAGCAGUGAAAUACCACUACCUUCACCGUCGUUUUACUCAUCGAGUGGCUUGGGAACAGCGGCCCAUUUACUUGGACAUCAGCCCUUGCUCUCAGCGGGGGUUGCGGCCACAAUCUGCUUCGUGCGUGGAAGCGUCGCCGCCUCGUGCGACGGCGUGACCCUGCGGGGGUUACUACCCCCCCGCCCUUGUUGGCGCCUCGGGACAAUGAUCAGUUGGGGAGUUUGGCUGGGGCGGCACGCCUGUUACAGGACAACGCAGGCGUCCUGAAGCAUUGCUCAGAUGGAACAGAAAUCUCCCAUGGAGGAGCAGGCCAAAGGUGCUGCUGAUGCUGCGACUUCCAGUACAAGUCCAAAACGUGCAAGCGUGGCCUUGCGAUCCUUUGGUCAGCUGCGCGGGUUCCGGAUAUUGAAGCCAGAGGUGUCAGAAAAAUUACCACAGGGAUAACUGGCUUGUGGCUGCCAAGCGUUCAAAGCGACGUCGCUUUUUGAUCCUUCGAUGUCGGCUCUUCCUAGCUUGCCACCCGCAGCCGAGUGCAAGAGUU